AUAGAACCUAGAAUUACUAAACAAAAUACUAAAAUGAGACAAUCGGUGACUGCAGAAGAACGAUUACUUGCUACGCUGAGAUAUUUAGCUACGGGUAGAACAUAUGCAGACAUGAAAUUUAGUUGUGCAAUAUCACCUCAACUUUUAGGGAAAAUUAUACCGGAGACAUGUAGAGAAUUGUUUAAGGCAUUAAAAAGAGAAUUUAUUAAGUUUCUGGCAAAAAUGGAUUCGCCUCAACCUGGCCCAUCAAACUGGGAUCCCUU
RNAcentral lists this unclassified non-coding RNA (263 nucleotides) under Melitaea cinxia (Glanville fritillary). RNAcentral describes it as "misc RNA ENSMCXG00005013232.1". The record is from RNAcentral. Lineage: Eukaryota; Metazoa; Arthropoda; Insecta; Lepidoptera; Nymphalidae.